This 72-nucleotide transfer RNA is filed under the name Camelus bactrianus (Bactrian camel). It matches the Rfam family "tRNA". From Rfam's summary of the family: Transfer RNA (tRNA) molecules are approximately 80 nucleotides in length. RNAcentral also lists the same sequence under 1 other name. The record is from Rfam by way of RNAcentral. Lineage: Eukaryota; Metazoa; Chordata; Mammalia; Artiodactyla; Camelidae.
GAGAGUAGAGCUCAGCGGUGGAGUGCGUGCUUAGCAUGCGUGAGGUCCUGGAUUCAAUACCCGGUACCUUCA